RNAcentral lists this ribosomal RNA (791 nucleotides) under uncultured bacterium. RNAcentral describes it as "bacterial SSU rRNA". It matches the Rfam family "Bacterial small subunit ribosomal RNA", at positions 8 to 796 of the family's 1533-position model. The record is from RNAcentral.
AGAGUUUGAUCCUGGCUCAGAGCGAACGCUGGCGGCGUGCUUAACACAUGCAAGUCGAACGCGCAGUUCCCUGUAGCAAUACAGGGGAUGGGCGCGUGGCGAACGGGUGCGUAACACGUGGAUAACCUUCCUUCAGGUGGGGAAUAACCCCGCGAAAGCGGGGCUAAUACCGCAUAACAUGACGAUGGCACAUGCCGUUGUCCUCAAAGCCGCAAGGCGCCAGAAGAGGGAUCCGCGGCCGAUUAGCUUGUUGGCGAGGUAAUGGCUCACCAAGGCAAUGAUCGGUAGCCGGUCUGAGAGGACGAUCGGCCACACUGGAACUGAGACACGGUCCAGACUCCUACGGGAGGCAGCAGUGGGGAAUCUUGCGCAAUGGACGAAAGUCUGACGCAGCAACGCCGCGUGGGGGAUGAAGCUUCUCGGAGUGUAAACCCCUUUCGACCCGGACGAAUGCCCGCAAGGGUUUGACGGUACGGGUAUAAGAAGCCCCGGCUAACUACGUGCCAGCAGCCCGCGGUAAAACGUAGGGGGCCAGCGUUGCUCGGAAUUACUGGGCGUAAAGGGUCCGUAGGCGGUGUGGCAAGUCGGAAGUGAAAUCUCUGGGCUUAACUCAGAGGCUGCUUCCGAAACUGCUGUGCUAGAGUGCGAGAGAGGCGAGUGGAAUUGCGGGUAGCGGUGAAAUGCGUAGAUAUCCGCAGGAACAUCCGAGGCGAAAGCGGCUCGCUGGAUCGCAACUGACGCUGAGGGACGAAAGCUAGGGGAGCAAACAGGAUUAGAUACCCCCGUAGUCC